GCUGUUAUGGCGGAAUACGGUAGACGCGAAAGAUUUAAAAUCUUUUCUUAGUUGGGUGAAAGUUCAAGUCUUUCUGACAGUA
RNAcentral lists this transfer RNA (82 nucleotides) under Polyplacotoma mediterranea. RNAcentral describes it as "tRNA-Leu". It matches the Rfam family "tRNA". From Rfam's summary of the family: Transfer RNA (tRNA) molecules are approximately 80 nucleotides in length. Their secondary structure includes four short double-helical elements and three loops (D, anti-codon, and T loops). Further hydrogen bonds mediate the characteristic L-shaped molecular structure. tRNAs have two regions of fundamental functional importance: the anti-codon, which is responsible for specific mRNA codon recognition, and the 3' end, to which the tRNAs corresponding amino acid is attached (by aminoacyl-tRNA synthetases). tRNAs cope with the degeneracy of the genetic code in two manners: having more than one tRNA (with a specific anti-codon) for a particular amino acid; and 'wobble' base-pairing, i.e. permitting non-standard base-pairing at the 3rd anti-codon position. The record is from RNAcentral. Lineage: Eukaryota; Metazoa; Placozoa.